GACGAACGCUGGCGGCGUGCCUAAUACAUGCAAGUAGAACGCACAGUUUAUAUCGUAGCUUGAUACACAAUAGACUGUGAGUUGCGAACGGGUGAGUAACGCGUAGGUAACCUGCCUGGUAGCGGGGGAUAACUAUUGGAAACGAUAGCUAAUACCGCAUAAUAUUGAUUAUUGCAUGUUAAUUAAUUGAAAGGCGCAAUUGCACCACUACCAGAUGGACCUGCGUUGUAUUAGCUAGUAGGUGAGGUAACGGCUCACCUAGGCGAAGAUACAUAGCCGACCUGAGAGGGUGAUCGGCCACACUGGGACUGAGACACGGCCCAGACUCCUACGGGAGGCAGCAGUAGGGAAUCUUCGGCAAUGGACGAAAGUCUGACCGAGCAACGCCGCGUGAGUGAAGAAGGUUUUCGGAUCGUAAAGCUCUGUUGUAAGAGAAGAACGGGUGUGAGAGUGGAAAGUUCACACUGUGACGGUAUCUUACCAGAAAGGGACGGCUAACUACGUG
Molecule: ribosomal RNA, 505 nt
Filed under: uncultured bacterium
Lineage: Bacteria
Description: partial 16S ribosomal RNA
Rfam family: Bacterial small subunit ribosomal RNA
Source: RNAcentral